Molecule: long non-coding RNA, 1729 nt
Organism: Nematostella vectensis (starlet sea anemone)
Lineage: Eukaryota; Metazoa; Cnidaria; Anthozoa; Actiniaria; Edwardsiidae
Exons: 4
Source: RefSeq, a predicted model, not a curated record
GAUAAAUUUUGUUUUACAUGAUAAUAAAACUCUGGUAUAUAUUCAGAAUACUCCUAUGGGAUCUAAACAAAGUACAGAUGGUCACAAGGACGUGAUGAGGAACUCUAAAAAGAAUACUCCUAUGGGAUCUAAACAAAGUACAGAUGGUCACAAGGACGUGAUGAGGAACUCUAAAAAGGACGUAACCUAUGGAAACAAUGACGUCAGAGCUAAAUUAGCCGCCCAAGGACCAAAAAAGGAGAGAUAAUUAGAGGUCUAAUGCUACGAUGAACAAUUCUAUCAGCGGUAGGCAUGGCAACGCAGGCGCUACGACAGCGAUAGAGCAGUAUUUUCUAGUUGGGGUCAACUCGGCAGGAUGUGUCUCUGGUUCUGUCGCAAACUCACUGCUUAUCCUGGCGUGCUCAUGGUUUCGUUAGCGGUAUCUUACAUGAUGUCAUGCGCGGUGUGGCAACCGUGUGUCUGUGUGUCCCCCCACGGUGUGAUGUCACGCCAAUAGUCACACCUUCACGGUGUCAUGUCAUGUCACGCCAAAGUCACACCUCAACGGUAUUUUGUCACACCAAUAGUCAUACCUUCACGGUGUCAUGUCACGCCAAUAGUCACGCUUUACGGUUUCAUGUCACGCCAAUAGUCACACCUUUAUGGUGUCACGUCACGCCAAUAGCCACACCUUUAUGGUGUCACGUCACGCCAAUAGUCACACCUUUAUGGUGUCACGUCACGCCAAUAGCCACACCUUUAUGGUGUCACGUCACGCCAAUAGCCACACCUUUAUGGUGUCACGUCACGCCAAUACCCACACCUUUAUGGUGUCACGUCACGCCAAUAGCCACACCUUUAUGGUGUCACGUCACGCCAAUAGCCACACCUUUAUGGUGUCACGUCACGCCAAUAGCCACACCUUUAUGGUGUCACGUCACGCCAAUAGCCACACCUUUAUGGUGUCACGUCACGCCAAUAGCCACACCUUUAUGAUGCCAUGAAUAGCCGCACACCCUCGCGGUGUCAUGACACGCCAAAAGUCACACCUUAUAUGGUAUCAUGUCACACCAUAAUAACACCCUCGCGGUGUCAUGUCAGGCCGAUUGUCAUACCUACACCCUCAAAAUUUCAGGUCACGCUUUCACGUCAAGCAAAUAGUCACACCUUCACGGUGUCAAGUCACGCUUUUAAGGCGUCAUGUCACGCCAAUUGUCACGUCUUCACAUAAGCCCAACCAUAAAAACAUACUUCUCUUCCAGUGUCGUGACGAAUGACUACGAAAGAAAAAAACACCAAAGAACCUUCGUCUAGCCCAGGCCCAGGGUAAUAAAAAUAUGAGAUCUGAUGCUUUUGUAAAUUGUAUAAGAACUAAUUACAGGAAUAACUUAACGUCAUCGAAAUAUUUAUUUAUAAUAUAUUUAUGUAUAUCUAUAUGUAAAAAAACACUAGACAUAAUACUUUGUAAAUAAAAACAGAAUUCUCUUUUGCAAAAUCAUACUCUACGAAAUAUGCCUGUACAUUUCACUAGUCAAAAUAAACUUUAAACUGUCACAGACAUAAUGGAUAUAGAAACACACAAUGAAUGCGUUUAUUGAUUUAUCUUGUGAAUGUCGUGUUUCGCGCAUCCCGAAUAGCCUACCUGUAGGCUUUGAUAGAUUUUCCGGCACGAAAACGGCCGGGUUAUGGGAACAAAGCCAAGUAGGCUACGCAUCUGAAUUGUAAGGGGCCUUUCACUUUUGAAGAGACA